GACGAACGCUGGCGGCGUGCUUAACACAUGCAAGUCGAACGGAAAGGCCUGCAGCUUGCUGCGGGUACUCGAGUGGCGAACGGGUGAGUAACACGUGGGUGAUCUGCCUUGCACUUCGGGAUAAGCUUGGGAAGCUGGGUCUAAUACCGGAUAGGACAGCUGUUUAGUGUCAGUUGUGGAAAGUUUUUUCGGUGCAAGAUGAGCUCGCGGCCUAUCAGCUUGUUGGUGGGGUAAUGGCCUACCAAGGCGUCGACGGGUAGCCGGCCUGAGAGGGUGUACGGCCACAUUGGGACUGAGAUACGGCCCAGACUCCUACGGGAGGCAGCAGUGGGGAAUAUUGCACAAUGGGCGGAAGCCUGAUGCAGCGACGCCGCGUGGGGGAUGAAGGCCUUCGGGUUGUAAACUCCUUUCGACAGGGACGAAGCGUAAGUGACGGUACCUGUAUAAGAAGCACCGGCUAACUACGUGCCAGCAGCCGCGGUAAUACGUAGGGUGCGAGCGUUGUCCGGAAUUACUGGGCGUAAAGAGCUCGUAGGUGGUUUGUCGCGUCGUCUGUGAAAUUCCGGGGCUUAACUCCGGGCGUGCAGGCGAUACGGGCUGACUUGAGUGCUGUAGGGGAGACUGGAAUUCCUGGUGUAGCGGUGAAAUGCGCAGAUAUCAGGAGGAACACCGAUGGCGAAGGCAGGUCUCUGGGCAGUAACUGACGCUGAGGAGCGAAAGCAUGGGUAGCGAACAGG
Molecule: ribosomal RNA, 737 nt
Filed under: uncultured Corynebacterium sp.
Lineage: Bacteria; Bacillati; Actinomycetota; Actinomycetes; Mycobacteriales; Corynebacteriaceae
Description: bacterial SSU rRNA
Rfam family: Bacterial small subunit ribosomal RNA
Source: RNAcentral